This 45-nucleotide non-coding RNA is filed under the name Schistosoma margrebowiei. The record is from RNAcentral. Lineage: Eukaryota; Metazoa; Platyhelminthes; Trematoda; Strigeidida; Schistosomatidae.
ACUCAACUGAUGAGUCCCAAAUAAGACGAAACACGAAUCCUGAAU